GCUAACAGAGGUUUUCUAGAUGCCAUUGGCCAUCCUCCAGUGAAGGAAGGAGACCCUUGAGAUGUCAGACCCUGAAGACUGGUGGUGGGUUCCUGAGGACUGUGGAUCUGACAGCGAUAUCCCUCCUUGGUGCUGGGAGCUAAAGGGAUUAAAUCAAAGCUCACCCAUCCCCUGAGUAAUCCGACCUCCAUUCAGCUCAGUAGCAGCACAGAAGUUGUAAUCCUAAACUCAGAAAGUGAGCUGGAAAUUGAACCUUCUCAGACAGAUGAUUGAGAGUGGGGGUACUCUGCAAUAUAUCAAAAGGAGAUCUUCUCCCCUGCCAGCUACCUGACUUCUCUGCCUUCUCCUUCCUACACAGCCUCUGUACAUGUAAAGCAGAUUCAGAAAGCAAACCGUGAAAGAACUUGACUUUGUGAGGUGCAGGUGCCCAUAAGACAAAUUCCUUCCAUGAAGAAUAAAGCCUGGUGAAGACUGCACGUCUCCACCACGGCCAGAGCUGGAGACCACGGCGGGAAGGGCUGCGGGAGCCAGGUCACCCCCCACCCCAGGGGGAGCCCUUUGUGUGCAGGGUGGAGGAAGUAUUUUGAAGACCCCAGGAUGAAAAUUCUG
Long non-coding RNA from Choloepus didactylus (southern two-toed sloth), 609 nucleotides. RefSeq lists it as uncharacterized. The transcript has 4 exons. The record is from RefSeq and is a predicted model, not a curated record. Lineage: Eukaryota; Metazoa; Chordata; Mammalia; Pilosa; Megalonychidae.